GGCCCUAUAGCUCAAUGGAUAGAGCCCUGGCCUUCUAAGCCAGCCAUGAAGGUUCGAUUCCUUCUGGGGUCA
This 72-nucleotide transfer RNA is filed under the name Spirochaetales bacterium. Its description in RNAcentral is "tRNA-Arg". It matches the Rfam family "tRNA". Rfam says of the family: Transfer RNA (tRNA) molecules are approximately 80 nucleotides in length. Their secondary structure includes four short double-helical elements and three loops (D, anti-codon, and T loops). Further hydrogen bonds mediate the characteristic L-shaped molecular structure. tRNAs have two regions of fundamental functional importance: the anti-codon, which is responsible for specific mRNA codon recognition, and the 3' end, to which the tRNAs corresponding amino acid is attached (by aminoacyl-tRNA synthetases). tRNAs cope with the degeneracy of the genetic code in two manners: having more than one tRNA (with a specific anti-codon) for a particular amino acid; and 'wobble' base-pairing, i.e. permitting non-standard base-pairing at the 3rd anti-codon position. The record is from RNAcentral. Lineage: Bacteria; Pseudomonadati; Spirochaetota; Spirochaetia; Spirochaetales.